This 474-nucleotide ribosomal RNA is filed under the name Streptococcus anginosus. RNAcentral describes it as "bacterial SSU rRNA". It matches the Rfam family "Bacterial small subunit ribosomal RNA", at positions 28 to 474 of the family's 1533-position model. The record is from RNAcentral. Lineage: Bacteria; Bacillati; Bacillota; Bacilli; Lactobacillales; Streptococcaceae.
GACGAACGCUGGCGGCGUGCCUAAUACAUGCAAGUAGGACGCACAGCCUAUACCGUAGCUUGCUACACCAUAGGCUGUGAGUUGCGAACGGGUGAGUAACGCGUAGGUAACCUGCCUAUUAGAGGGGGAUAACUAUUGGAAACGAUAGCUAAUACCGCAUAACAGUAUGUAACACAUGUUAGAUGCUUGAAAGAUGCAAUUGCAUCGCUAGUAGAUGGACCUGCGUUGUAUUAGCUAGUAGGUAGGGUAAUGGCCUACCUAGGCAACGAUACAUAGCCGACCUGAGAGGGUGAUCGGCCACACUGGGACUGAGACACGGCCCAGACUCCUACGGGAGGCAGCAGUAGGGAAUCUUCGGCAAUGGGGGGAACCCUGACCGAGCAACGCCGCGUGAGUGAAGAAGGUUUUCGGAUCGUAAAGCUCUGUUGUUAAGGAAGAACGAGUGUGAGAAUGGAAAAGUUUCAUACUGUGACG